AUUGAACGCUGGCGGAAUGCUUUACACAUGCAAGUCGAACGGCAGCAUGGGGGCAGCCCUGGUGGCGAGUGGCGAACGGGUGAGUAAUACAUCGGAACGUGCCCGGUCGUGGGGGAUAACGUAGCGAAAGUUACGCUAAUACCGCAUACGAUCUGAGGAUGAAAGCGGGGGACCUUCUGGCCUCGCGCGAUCGGAUCGGCCGAUGUCAGAUUAGGUAGUUGGUGGGGUAAAGGCCUACCAAGCCGACGAUCUGUAGCUGGUCUGAGAGGACGACCAGCCACACUGGGACUGAGACACGGCCCAGACUCCUACGGGAGGCAGCAGUGGGGAAUUUUGGACAAUGGGCGCAAGCCUGAUCCAGCCAUCCCGCGUGCAGGACGAAGGCCUUCGGGUUGUAAACUGCUUUUGUACGGAACGAAAAGGCUCUGGCUAAUACCUGGGGCUCAUGACGGUACCGUAAGAAUAAGCCCCGGCUAACUACGUG
This 484-nucleotide ribosomal RNA is filed under the name uncultured bacterium. RNAcentral describes it as "partial 16S ribosomal RNA". It matches the Rfam family "Bacterial small subunit ribosomal RNA", at positions 30 to 507 of the family's 1533-position model. The record is from RNAcentral.